RNAcentral lists this microRNA precursor (199 nucleotides) under Dichanthelium oligosanthes. RNAcentral describes it as "MIR1435 microRNA precursor family". It matches the Rfam family "MIR1435 microRNA precursor family". Lineage: Eukaryota; Viridiplantae; Streptophyta; Magnoliopsida; Poales; Poaceae. The record is from Rfam by way of RNAcentral.
UGGUUUUGUCUGAAGUCAAACUUUCUUAAAUUUGACCAAAUUUAUAUAAAAAAUUAUCAAUUUUUAUGAUACCAAAUAAACAUACUAUGAAAAUAUAUUUCAUCAUGAAUCUAAUGAUACUUUUUUGGUUUCAUAAAAAAUAGUAAUUUUUGUAUAAAUUUAGUCAAACUUAAGAAAGUUUGACUUCAGACAAAACCAA